CCCUUGAGGUUCUUCUCGUGCCAAAUUUGGUUCUUGCAUCUUCUGUCUGACAUUCAUGGUUUUAGGGAUUGAAUUUUAUUAUAGUAUAUCGGUAUUGCUUCGAAGAUUGUGGUGUAUGGCUUGUGUUUCCCUUCUUGAUCAAGUUUUUUCAUGGUUUUCAGAAUUAUAUCGGUAUAUUCCAUAGAUUGUGGUGUAUGGCCUGUGUUUCCCUUCUUUGAUCAAGUUUUUUCAGGGUUUUCGGAAUUAUAUGGGUAUCGAUAGAUAGACUUUUGUCGGAUUGAAGAACACGAGUGUUAUCAGUCCUUCUGUUGGAUUGAAGAACACAAGAUAAUAUUUCUUUAAUUGAUGAUGACACCUUUUUGCGUAAUUUCUUUACAUCUUUUCAACUGGUCGGGUUCUCUGCAUAUGGAUGAUAUGAAAAGUAACAUGAAAAGCAUAAUAGUUCAGAACGGCCAAGGGUUCAGCAUAACCUAAGUCUUCUUUUUGUCUCCUUUCUAUUAUAUACUGUUUUUUGGUAUUGAUCAUUAUACAUGGGGAUUGAACUAUGAUCUCUUUAUCUGCAGUGGUGUUUGGAAAUAGUUUUGUACGUCCUGAAUUAAGACUCUGCCGAUUUCUUGAAUUUUUGGGCCGGAAAGUUUUGUGACUGAUCGCUACGAUCUGAUUUCGGAGCCUUUGAAAUUUGGUGUUUGUGUUCAUUCCUUUGCAGCACUUCUUUCGUCGGUCGAUGAACGUUCUUUCUCAUUUAAUUUUUAUCGACUUGAUCACCAAACAUAAGGAUUGAAUUGUGAUUUGUUCCUCAGUAGCAAACAUAAAGACUGGCAUUUGUAUUUAAGUUUUCUCAUCCACACAUAUUUUAUUUAUCUGUGACUAGCUAUCUGAUGACUUAUGUAUUCAAUUUGAAUUUAGUUAUUUAUUUGAUGACUGAGAUCUACCGUGUCUAUCUUUUGAUCUGCAUGUAUUCAUUGUUUUUCAGGUUGAGGAUUAAAAACCAUAAAUGUGAAUAUUGUUCUUGAUUUUUGAAAUCUGUCAGAUCUUGAUCUGUGAUUUUGUUUCCUUUUCAGCACUUUGACAGUUGAGGAUUAAAGAAUAAUAAUACAAUCAGGGCUGGAUGAGUUUCAUUUGUAUUUGUUUGAUCAGGAACUUCAAGUAUAAGAAUUCAAUCUUGAUUCGUUUCUCUGUAGAAGUGUUUGGAGGAUAUGUUUUGGGUUACGGGACUGAGAUGUGAGGGAACCUUAGAAAUGAAGUACGUGCAAAUGGUGGGUGGUGGGGGCAGGUUUGGGAAGGAUGCGGAGAAACCUUGGAUUGUAUUAUCUUGGCCUUCAUAUUUUUCUUUGCCAUUAUUUUUUAAGCUAAACACGUGGAGUGGGAGAUCCUCUAAAUAGGCGAUGUACGAGUGAGAGGCUUUGACAUUUGUGUUGUUGGAUCAUUGACUCUGUUGUGUUGAUUAUCUUCUUCUUCUAGUCUUGUCUAUUGGAUCGUACAGCCAAAAGCGGUAGAUUAUUUAACUCACUACAAAGCUUUGUUUUAUACUUACUACAAAGCUUUCUGUUUUAUUACGUUUCUAUUUACUUUGUGUUCGAGUUAGAAUUGUUGUUCUCUCUCUUAUUGGUUGUAGGAAGGUACACUUGUCAGCCAUUGCAAGAGCAAUAUUUGCAAAUGGUGGGUGGUGGUUGUUGGGUUUUGCGCAGCUUUCAAAAGCAAUGGAUCCGGUGAAACCUUGGAUAUUAUUAUCUUUGCAUUCAUAUUUUUCAUAGCCAUUAUUCUUCAAGCUAAACUUGUGGAGUAGGAGAUCUUCUAAAUACGCAUCGUAGGAGUGAGAGGCUGACAUUUGUGUUGUUGGACGUUGACUCUGUUGGUUUACAGUGAAGAUGUCUAUUGGAUCGUAGAGCCAAUAACUGUGUAUUAUUUAACUUACGAUCAAGCUUUAAGUUUUAUUAUGUUUCCAUUUGCUUUAUGUGCUUGAGUUGGAAUUUUGUUGUUGUCUCUCUUAUUGGUUGUAGGAAGGUACAUGUGUCAGCCAUUGUCUUUGUCUAAGCAAGAGCCUCUAAUGGAAAUUUCUCCAUUGGUUUUUAAUUGUUGUAUUUGUUUAUUCAUCUUAUCAUCUAGGUCCUUUGUCUUCUAACCCAUAUUGAUUGUAGUUUUCUUGUAUUAUGGGCUUUAUAGGAAAACUAAGAAAUGAGGUUGGUGCAGGGUGUUCAAAUGGUGAGUGGUUGACUGGUUCAACUGGUUCAGUAACAGUGGAUGGGUAUGGAGUUCUGGUGAAACCCUUUGUUUUAUCACGUUCUCAUUUACUAUUUUUCUUGUCUAUUUGAGUGGCUUUAGUCUCUCUUAUUGGUUGUAGGAAGAUACAUGUUUUGGCCAUGGUGUUUCUUUAAACAAGAGCAAUACUUGAUCACCGGACAUUAUGGUCAACUAUCCUGAUAUGGAAAUUUUCCCAUUGGUUUUCCAAUUCUUCAAUUUGUUUAUCAUCUUAUUAUCUUCGUCAUUCAUCUUCUACCCAAAUUGAUUAUUGUUUUCUUGAAUUGAUGGGCUUUACAUGCAAACUAAGAAAUGCAAUGUGUGCAGGGUGUGCAAAUGGUGGGUGGUGGGCUGGUUUUGGUAACGGUGGAUGGAAAUCUGGUGAACCCUAGGUUUAAUUAUUUUUGAAUUCAUUAUGUUCAUUGCCGUUAUUCUUCAAACUAAACUUGUGGAGUGGGAGAUCUUAAAAGUAGAUACUUUAUGCGUUACAUGCUUUGACAUUUGUUUGUUAGACUGUUGGAUGUUGAUUUUGAUUAAUCUUCUUCUACUCAUGUCACAGUUAAGAGGAUGUCUUUUGGAUCGUGGCUGCAGUAGUUGUAGGUUAACUUACUACAGAGCUUUAUGUCUUUUGUCAUUCUCAUGUACUAUUUUUCUUGUCUGUUUAAGAUGGAUUGGCUUUAGUAUCUCUUGUUGGUUGUAGGGAGGUACAUGUUUCGGCCAUGGUGUUUGUCUAUGUAAGAGCAAUAAUUGACAGUGGGAUCAUUAUGAUGAUCAUUAUAAUGAUCGAGUUUGUUUUGGAAAUUUCUGGAUUGCUUUUUGUAUUUUAUUAUUUUCUUAUCAUCUAGGUCACUUAAUUAUAGUUAAUUGAUGGGCCUUACAAGAAAACUAAGAAUUGAAGUGGGUGCAGGGUGUGCAAAUGGUGGGUGGUGGGCAACUUCGGAAACAGUGAAUUGUAACAAUGGAUGGAGGUCCGGUGAAACCCUUUGUUUUAUUAUCUGUGCUAACAUUAUUUUCCUUGCCCUUAUUUUUCAAACUAAACUUGUGGAAUGGGUGUUGGGUUGUUGGACAGUUGACUCUGUUGAUUAUCUUCAUGCAGUGAAGAUGUCUAUUGGAUCGUGCAUGCUGUAGGAGUAGAUUAUUUAACUUACUGCAAAACUUUGUUUUAUUAUAUUCUCAUAUACUAUUUUUCUUGUCUACUCAAGUGGCUUUAGUCAGUCUUAUUACUUGUAGGAAGGUACAUGUUCACUGGACAAUUACUUUCUCAAUUACUUUUUUAAUUAUUGUAUUUGUUUAUUUAUCUUUUCAUAUAG
Molecule: long non-coding RNA, 3548 nt
Organism: Vigna radiata var. radiata (mung bean)
Lineage: Eukaryota; Viridiplantae; Streptophyta; Magnoliopsida; Fabales; Fabaceae
Exons: 2
Source: RefSeq, a predicted model, not a curated record